Molecule: ribosomal RNA, 450 nt
Filed under: uncultured bacterium
Lineage: Bacteria
Description: bacterial SSU rRNA
Rfam family: Bacterial small subunit ribosomal RNA
Source: RNAcentral
GUGGGGAAUAUUGGACAAUGGGCGAAAGCCUGAUCCAGCCAUGCCGGGUGUGUGAAGAAGGUCUUCGGAUUGUAAAGCACUUUAAGUUGGGAGGAAGGGCAGUAAGUUAAUACCUUGCUGUUUUGACGUUACCGACAGAAUAAGCACCGGCUAACUUCGUGCCAGCAGCCGCGGUAAUACGAAGGGUGCAAGCGUUAAUCGGAAUUACUGGGCGUAAAGCGCGCGUAGGUGGUUUUGUAAGUUGGAGGUGAAAUCCCCGGGCUCAACCUGGGAACUGCCUCCAAAACUGCAUGACUAGAGUACGGUAGAGGGUAGUGGAAUUUCCUGUGUAGCGGUGAAAUGCGUAGAUAUAGGAAGGAACACCAGUGGCGAAGGCGACUACCUGGACUGAUACUGACACUGAGGUGCGAAAGCGUGGGGAGCAAACAGGAUUAGAAACCCGGGUAGUCC